GUGCCAGCCGCCGCGGUAAUACAGAGGGGGCGAGCGUUGUUCGGAAUUACUGGGCGUAAAGGGCGCGUAGGCGGCCGACUAAGUCAGACGUGAAAUCCCCGGGCUCAACCCGGGAACUGCGUCUGAUACUGGUUGGCUGGAGUCCGGGAGAGGGAAGCGGAAUUCCAGGUGUAGCGGUGAAAUGCGUAGAUAUCUGGAGGAACACCGGUGGCGAAGGCGGCUUCCUGGACCGGUACUGACGCUGAGGCGCGAAAGCCAGGGGAGCAAACGGGAUUAGAUACCCCCGUAGUCC
RNAcentral lists this ribosomal RNA (292 nucleotides) under uncultured bacterium. RNAcentral's name for it is "partial 16S ribosomal RNA". It matches the Rfam family "Bacterial small subunit ribosomal RNA", at positions 505 to 796 of the family's 1533-position model. The record is from RNAcentral.